CGAACGGCUCAUUAAAUCAGUUAUCGUUUAUUUGAUAGUACCUUACUACUUGGAUAACCGUGGUAAUUCUAGAGCUAAUACAUGCUAAAAACCCCGACUUCGGAAGGGGUGUAUUUAUUAGAUAAAAAACCAAUGCCCUUCGGGGCUCCUUGGUGAAUCAUAAUAACUUCUCGAAUCGCAUGGCCUUGUGCCGGCGAUGGUUCAUUCAAAUUUCUGCCCUAUCAACUUUCGAUGGUAGGAUAGUGGCCUACCAUGGUGGCAACGGGUAACGGGGAAUUAGGGUUCGAUUCCGGAGAGGGAGCCUGAGAAACGGCUACCACAUCCAAGGAAGGCAGCAGGCGCGCAAAUUACCCAAUCCCGAUACGGGGAGGUAGUGACAAUAAAUAUUGAUCCGGGGCUCUUUCGGGUCUCGGAAUCGAAAUGAGAACAAUCUAAAUCCCUUAACGAGGAACAAUUGGAGGGCAAGUCUGGUGCCAGCAGCCGCGGUAAUUCCAGCUCCAAUAGCGUAUAUUAAAGUUGUUGCAGUUAAAAAGCUCGUAGUUGAACCUUGGGUCUGGCUGGUCGGUCCGCCUCACCGCGUGUUACUGAUCCGGCCGGACCUUUCCUUCUGGGGAGCCCUAUGGCCUUCACUGGCCGUAGGGGGAACCAGGACUUUUACUGUGAAAAAAUUAGAGUGUUCAAAGCAGGCAUUUGCUCGGAUACAUUAGCAUGGAAUAAUAGAAUAGGACGUGCGGUUCUAUUUUGUUGGUUUCUAGGACCGCCGUAAUGAUUAAUAGGGAUGGUCGGGGGCGUCAGUAUUCAGCUGUCAGAGGUGAAAUUCUUGGAUUUGCUGAAGACUAACUAUUGCGAAAGCAUUCGCCAAGGAUGUUUUCAUUAAUCAGUGAACGAAAGUUAGGGGAUCGAAGACGAUCAGAUACCGUCGUAGUCUUAACCAUAAACUAUGCCGACUAGGGAUCGGACGGGGUUUUUUUAAUGACCCGUUCGGCACCUUACGAGAAAUCAAAGUUUUUGGGUUCUGGGGGGAGUAUGGUCGCAAGGCUGAAA
Molecule: ribosomal RNA, 1044 nt
Filed under: Spiromastigoides minima
Lineage: Eukaryota; Fungi; Ascomycota; Eurotiomycetes; Onygenales; Spiromastigoidaceae
Description: SSU rRNA
Rfam family: Eukaryotic small subunit ribosomal RNA
Source: RNAcentral